UGGGGAAUCGUCCAAUGGCAGGACACCUGACUCUGGAUCAGGUAAUCUAGGUUCGAAUCCUGGUUCCCCAGCCA
RNAcentral lists this transfer RNA (74 nucleotides) under Aminivibrio sp. Its description in RNAcentral is "tRNA-Gln". It matches the Rfam family "tRNA". From Rfam's summary of the family: Transfer RNA (tRNA) molecules are approximately 80 nucleotides in length. Their secondary structure includes four short double-helical elements and three loops (D, anti-codon, and T loops). The record is from RNAcentral. RNAcentral also lists the same sequence under 1 other name. Lineage: Bacteria; Thermotogati; Synergistota; Synergistia; Synergistales; Aminobacteriaceae.